This is a long non-coding RNA of Oreochromis niloticus (Nile tilapia), 397 nucleotides long. RefSeq lists it as uncharacterized. Lineage: Eukaryota; Metazoa; Chordata; Actinopteri; Cichliformes; Cichlidae. The transcript is spliced from 2 exons. The record is from RefSeq and is a predicted model, not a curated record.
UGAGGAUGAUUCACGUUUCCUCCAUCAGGCCUGUUACUUUUAAACCAUCAUCUAUCAUUAGCCUGUUUUAGCUGACGUCCUUCCUGUGUUUCAAUAAGGAACCAGAGGACGGUGAUUGUUUGAGCUUAAAGCUGCAAAAAGGAAAUACGUAUAAGUCAGAUGCUGUCUGACGUUCAUCAGAAGCGCUGAAAAUCGGAGAUUAUGUACUUUUUUUCGUUUAACAUCUCUUCGUGCCACAAGAAAAGAGUGGAUGAGACGAGUAUUGUGGACCGGCAUGGUUACGUCACAGCCAAGACCGAGUAUCAGCCCAGAGCAAAGUUUGAUGUGUCGGUGAAAAAUGGACUGAAGAUUUUAAUGUUACAAUUGAAAUGAAAGUGCUGGUUUAAUGCAGCCAACA